GCGGGUGUAGCUUAGUGGUAAAGCCUCGGCCUUCCAAGCCGAUGAUAUGGGUCCGAUUCCCAUUACCCGCU
This 71-nucleotide transfer RNA is filed under the name Holosporaceae bacterium. RNAcentral describes it as "tRNA-Gly". It matches the Rfam family "tRNA". Rfam says of the family: Transfer RNA (tRNA) molecules are approximately 80 nucleotides in length. The record is from RNAcentral. Lineage: Bacteria; Pseudomonadati; Pseudomonadota; Alphaproteobacteria; Holosporales; Holosporaceae.